AACGAACGCUGGCGGCAUGCCUAACACAUGCAAGUCGAACGAGACCUUCGGGUCUAGUGGCGCACGGGUGCGUAACGCGUGGGAACCUGCCCUUAGGUUCGGAAUAACUCCCCGAAAGGGGUGCUAAUACCGGAUAAUGUCUUCGGACCAAAGAUUUAUCGCCUUUGGAUGGGCCCGCGUUGGAUUAGCUAGUUGGUAGGGUAAAGGCCUACCAAGGCGACGAUCCAUAGCUGGUCUGAGAGGAUGAUCAGCCACACUGGGACUGAGACACGGCCCAGACUCCUACGGGAGGCAGCAGUGGGGAAUAUUGGACAAUGGGCGAAAGCCUGAUCCAGCAAUGCCGCGUGAGUGAUGAAGGCCUUAGGGUUGUAAAGCUCUUUUACCCGGGAUGAUAAUGGCAGUACCGGGAGAAUAAGCUCCGGCUAACUCCGUG
This 433-nucleotide ribosomal RNA is filed under the name uncultured bacterium. RNAcentral's name for it is "partial 16S ribosomal RNA". It matches the Rfam family "Bacterial small subunit ribosomal RNA", at positions 29 to 507 of the family's 1533-position model. The record is from RNAcentral.